RNAcentral lists this transfer RNA (85 nucleotides) under Caudoviricetes sp. Its description in RNAcentral is "tRNA-Gln". It matches the Rfam family "tRNA". From Rfam's summary of the family: Transfer RNA (tRNA) molecules are approximately 80 nucleotides in length. The record is from RNAcentral. Lineage: Duplodnaviria; Heunggongvirae; Uroviricota; Caudoviricetes.
UGCGGAGUGACGAAAUUGGAUAGACGUAACAGGCUUUGACCCUGUUGUUCACAAGAAUAUGUGGGUUCAAAUCCCACCUCCGUAG